This 492-nucleotide ribosomal RNA is filed under the name uncultured bacterium. Its description in RNAcentral is "partial 16S ribosomal RNA". It matches the Rfam family "Bacterial small subunit ribosomal RNA", at positions 29 to 507 of the family's 1533-position model. The record is from RNAcentral.
AGUGAACGCUGGCGGUAGGCCUAACACAUGCAAGUCGAACGGCAGCACAGUAAGAGCUUGCUCUUACGGGUGGCGAGUGGCGGACGGGUGAGGAAUACAUCGGAAUCUACUUUUUCGUGGGGGAUAACGUAGGGAAACUUACGCUAAUACCGCAUACGACCUACGGGUGAAAGCAGGGGAUCUUCGGACCUUGCGCGAUUGAAUGAGCCGAUGCCGGAUUAGCUAGUUGGCGGGGUAAAGGCCCACCAAGGCGACGAUCCGUAGCUGGUCUGAGAGGAUGAUCAGCCACACUGGAACUGAGACACGGUCCAGACUCCUACGGGAGGCAGCAGCAGGGAAUAUUGGACAAUGGGCGCAAGCCUGAUCCAGCCAUACCGCGUGGGUGAAGAAGGCCUUCGGGUUGUAAAGCCCUUUUGUUGGGAAAGAAAAGCAGCAGGUUAAUACCCCGCUGUUCUGACGGUACCCAAAGAAUAAGCACCGGCUAACUUCGUG